Molecule: non-coding RNA, 428 nt
Organism: Taeniopygia guttata (zebra finch)
Lineage: Eukaryota; Metazoa; Chordata; Aves; Passeriformes; Estrildidae
Source: RefSeq, a predicted model, not a curated record
ACUCCACAGGACACUGCUGUCACACUUAAGUUCUGUGCGUGCAGUGGCUAUUUACAGCGGCAUCUCCGCAGCAAGCUCCCACGCUGCCCGACCUGAGCUUGCACCGCCGGCUGGAGCUCAAAUGGACAUCGGGCACCUGCCGGCCAACUUUGAGGGAGGAGGGCGACACGCCGUUGUUGCAAAACCAAUGCACGGUCGCAGGGCUUGCUUUGUAAUAAUUUGGCCUCGUUUUCCAGAAAGCUGUUAAAUGAGCGACUGGCAUGGAUAUCCACAGGAGGUGGGGAGCUUGGGAGCCCAGAACCGCAACUUUUUCGCUGUGCCGUCCCUGGGCUUUCUCCACACACGACACACUAUUGCAGGACCGCAAGUGGACGACAGAGUUUUAACAUGUGGAAAGAGAUUGUGAUGAUGCUCAAGCAGAACAAAAA